Molecule: non-coding RNA, 107 nt
Filed under: Nitrosospira sp.
Lineage: Bacteria; Pseudomonadati; Pseudomonadota; Betaproteobacteria; Nitrosomonadales; Nitrosomonadaceae
Description: TPP sequence
Rfam family: TPP riboswitch aptamer (THI element)
About the family: Vitamin B(1) in its active form thiamin pyrophosphate (TPP) is an essential coenzyme that is synthesised by coupling of pyrimidine and thiazole moieties in bacteria. The previously detected thiamin-regulatory element, thi box was extended, resulting in a new, highly conserved RNA secondary structure, the THI element, which is widely distributed in eubacteria and also occurs in some archaea.
Source: RNAcentral
AGCAGCAGCUAGGGGUCCGUUUCCGGCGCUGGCCGGCAAACUGGUGAGAGAGUCCCUUACUACCUGACACGGAUAAUGCCGCCGUAGGGAAGCUGGGACCUGCCGUC